GGAAAUGUCAUUAGAAGCUGAACAAGUAAGCCUUGUUCCAGUAGUUUCUUCCAGAGUAAAUAAGUUCAAGCUGUCAUUAUUUGAAAUCCUCUCUGAAAUUGAGUCCUUAAUUGCAGUAGCAUCAGGAGAAGAUCAUGAAUUGGUAGUAUCUGAUUGCUGACAUUCUUGCUUAUGAACUUGCUUCCAAUGAAUUGUUUGACAUCUCUCGAAACAAUAUCUAACAGAUUUGCAUCUAGA
Molecule: unclassified non-coding RNA, 237 nt
Filed under: Hevea brasiliensis (rubber tree)
Lineage: Eukaryota; Viridiplantae; Streptophyta; Magnoliopsida; Malpighiales; Euphorbiaceae
Source: RNAcentral